AAUUCUCAACCUCACCAACUUUGUCAUGAAGUUGUGUGUAGGCUUGGAGGUGGGGGGUUUGCAGGUCCACAACUGUGGUCUGCUCCUCUGAAAUGUAUUAGUGGGUUAGGCCCCUUAUCUAUCGGUGUGAUAAUUAUCUACUCCGUGGAUUGGGUUGGCUUAUCAUAAGACCUGCUUCAAACCGUCCUUCCCUUGGACAACUCUUGACAU
This 210-nucleotide unclassified non-coding RNA is filed under the name Coprinopsis acuminata. Its description in RNAcentral is "partial internal transcribed spacer 2". The record is from RNAcentral. Lineage: Eukaryota; Fungi; Basidiomycota; Agaricomycetes; Agaricales; Psathyrellaceae.